GUGGUCUUUGGCAACACAUACACUACAAUUGGAACAGUACAGACCAUUAACAUGGCCCCUGUGCAAGGUUAACUAUGCAAAUUCAUGAAGUAUUCUAUAUUUUU
Molecule: small nuclear RNA, 104 nt
Organism: Myotis lucifugus (little brown bat)
Lineage: Eukaryota; Metazoa; Chordata; Mammalia; Chiroptera; Vespertilionidae
Source: Ensembl